Molecule: long non-coding RNA, 943 nt
Organism: Aedes albopictus (Asian tiger mosquito)
Lineage: Eukaryota; Metazoa; Arthropoda; Insecta; Diptera; Culicidae
Exons: 2
Source: RefSeq, a predicted model, not a curated record
GAUUUUGUCAGCCCCUUGUAGCAUUUUGGGCUGACAAAAUCGGGUACCUGACAAAAUCGGGACAUUUUUUAAAAUCAUUUUUUUAUUCAUGAAAAAUUGUUCUGAGCACAUCAGAGACGGAGAUAGGUGCUGAGGGUCUGCUUUGGGUUCGUUCAAAUAUUACGUAACGCCAAUUAGGGGGGGGGGGGUCCGCGCUGUGUUACGAUUUAUUCAAAAUUUUAAAAUUUCUCUUUCAAAAAUAGUUACGCGGCGAAGGGAUAGCGGAUAGGGUCCAAAAUUGCCAAAUUUUGCGUUACGUAAUAUUUGAACGAACCUUUUGUGGUAAAAAAAUCGAAAGGGUGUUAAGGGCACCGAAAAAAAUGGAAUUUUUUCAAAGUUAACAUUCAGUGUUAUUUUACAGCAGAACUAUUACAUCUUUUAUUUCUUGUCAUAACAUCCCUACUGGGACACAGCCUUCUCCUAGCUUAGCAAUUGUGGUCUACAGAAAACAGUUGACACUGGAUAGCGCAGUUUAAAUCAUAACAUCUUACAUUAGCUGUCAACGAGUGAAAAUGAACCAACAUCUGAUUGACAAGUACAGACACUCAUACUGUCCGAAUUGGCUACGUUUCCGAUGCCUUUCCACUUUAAUUUCCAGAGCCUUAUCUCUAAAGAGUCUCUCGAUAAAUCUUUGAAGGAAUGUUCGGGGAAAUUUUUAGAGAAACUACCCGAGUAUAUACGGAACAUAACCCUCAAAACAUUCCCGAAGGGAUCCCGUUAGUAGUUUCUGCAAAAAACCUUUACAGGAGCUCCGGAUAGAUCCCUUAAGUAAUUUCGGAAAGAAACCUUAGUGCAAUCUCCAUAGAAAUCUCUAGAGGCGUUUCUUUAGCAUUUUCUGAAAAAUCAUUGAAAGAAUCCCAAUUGCAAUCUUUGAAGAAAUUUCCUUGAGAAAUCCAUGGAGGAA